This 132-nucleotide small RNA is filed under the name Escherichia sp. E1S7. RNAcentral describes it as "RtT sRNA". It matches the Rfam family "RtT RNA". Rfam says of the family: This family represents a bacterial cis-regulatory element known as RtT RNA. The exact function of RtT is unknown although it is thought that it may be involved in changing the cellular response in relation to amino acid starvation. Lineage: Bacteria; Pseudomonadati; Pseudomonadota; Gammaproteobacteria; Enterobacterales; Enterobacteriaceae. The record is from RNAcentral. RNAcentral also lists the same sequence under 1 other name.
CUUUUUUGCUAUCUGCGAUAUUCAAAAAUUCGAACCUGCAGCAGGUUCGAGUUGAGCGUAGCGAAACAACGGAGCCGCUUGCGGCGACGACCCGAAGGGCGAGCGAAGCGAGUCAUCCUGCACGACCCACCA